AUGCGGCACACGAGUUUCCGUUUCGGCUUUCAUCAUCAACCCGUCAUUGUGAACAUCCAAUGCGCCGAUCCUCUUCUCCUAUUGUUCUCCAUUAAUCCCUUGCUCAGCUCACGGUCUUCUGAUUCCUUACUUCAUCUUCUCCAAAUCCAGAAAUACGUCGAGAACCUAGAGGCUUCUGAGUACGAUUACACUAUGACAGUGAUGAAUCAACACCUAGCGCCUUAA
RNAcentral lists this long non-coding RNA (225 nucleotides) under Vicia faba (fava bean). The record is from RNAcentral. Lineage: Eukaryota; Viridiplantae; Streptophyta; Magnoliopsida; Fabales; Fabaceae.